This 253-nucleotide ribosomal RNA is filed under the name uncultured bacterium. RNAcentral's name for it is "partial 16S ribosomal RNA". It matches the Rfam family "Bacterial small subunit ribosomal RNA", at positions 524 to 776 of the family's 1533-position model. The record is from RNAcentral.
UACGUAGGGUGCGAGCGUUGUCCGGAAUUACUGGGCGUAAAGAGCUUGUAGGUGGUUUGUCGCGUUGUUCGUGAAAACUCACAGCUCAACUGUGGGCGUGCGGGCGAUACGGGCAGACUAGAGUACUGCAGGGGAGACUGGAAUUCCUGGUGUAGCGGUGGAAUGCGCAGAUAUCAGGAGAAACACCGGUGGCGAAGGCGGGUCUCUGGGCAGUAACUGACGCUGAGAAGCGAAAGCGUGGGGAGCGAACAGG